Molecule: non-coding RNA, 536 nt
Organism: Schizosaccharomyces pombe (fission yeast)
Lineage: Eukaryota; Fungi; Ascomycota; Schizosaccharomycetes; Schizosaccharomycetales; Schizosaccharomycetaceae
Source: the annotation of a GenBank genome assembly
GUCACUAAAGGCUAUUUCCAAACAUCAUGAGAAUUAAUAAUCUUACUGUCUAAAGAAGAUCGCGGCCGAGAAGAAUUGGAUUGAACGGGUGAUGCUCUAGCAGAUGGUUGUGCACUGGUCACAUUAGAAGUGAACAUAGGCAUCUUCCACUUAUCUGCCACAAAGGAGGAUCCUGUCGUAGCCGGUUGAUGAAAAGCACCAUAAGGUUGGCUAGACGUAGUACUAGUUGAAACUGGGGACGGUAGAUUUUGGUAUGUUGCAUUGGUGGUUAUGCUUGAAGAACUUACUUGUGGUCGUGGAGAUGCAUAUAAGGAGAGAAUUGAAGACUUUAAAUCUCGUUGUCUAGUCGAAGGAGCAUGCACAGUAGAAGGUUGCUUGGAUAAAGAAGCUAAAUUAGGAGACGACUGGGCUAAAGAAGUGGUAGCUGAUAUAGCUUCUUUCUUGGAAGUAACGUUGGUAACUGUAGCAGAAGAAGUGCUUUUAACUGAGUGAGCACUGGAAGAUCGAGAAGCAGUAUUAAGAUCUAAAGAGGCGUU